GUCUAUGGCCAUACCACCCUGAACAUACCCUAUCUCGUCUGAUCUCAGAAGCUAUGCAGGGUAGGGCCUAGUUAGUGCUUCAGUGGGAGAAAGGAUAGAAGCUGGGAUGUCCAGGACA
This 118-nucleotide ribosomal RNA is filed under the name Prolemur simus (greater bamboo lemur). The record is from RNAcentral. Lineage: Eukaryota; Metazoa; Chordata; Mammalia; Primates; Lemuridae.